Molecule: long non-coding RNA, 258 nt
Organism: Leucoraja erinaceus (little skate)
Lineage: Eukaryota; Metazoa; Chordata; Chondrichthyes; Rajiformes; Rajidae
Exons: 2
Source: RefSeq, a predicted model, not a curated record
AGUGGCAAAAGCCAUUAUUAUUGUCUUGCAUUUUAACACUGGUCACUUAGUUAAAGCCGACAUUAUGACAUUAGGCAGUGAACAUGUGCUACUGAUAUUAAUGAGGAAAUGGUUUGGCUUUGAUGCCUGAGACUGAUAUUGAAGAAAUGAGAAAGUGUAUAUAUGCAAAGACAGCCCAGAGGAUCGGCUGCCAUUUUCAGGUCUGGAUCAUUGGCAGACAGCGGGACUUUACCUCUGCUGCUAUUAUCCUUCCAAAAA